Molecule: transfer RNA, 89 nt
Filed under: Actinomycetota bacterium
Lineage: Bacteria; Bacillati; Actinomycetota
Description: tRNA-Cys
Rfam family: tRNA
About the family: Transfer RNA (tRNA) molecules are approximately 80 nucleotides in length. Their secondary structure includes four short double-helical elements and three loops (D, anti-codon, and T loops). Further hydrogen bonds mediate the characteristic L-shaped molecular structure. tRNAs have two regions of fundamental functional importance: the anti-codon, which is responsible for specific mRNA codon recognition, and the 3' end, to which the tRNAs corresponding amino acid is attached (by aminoacyl-tRNA synthetases). tRNAs cope with the degeneracy of the genetic code in two manners: having more than one tRNA (with a specific anti-codon) for a particular amino acid; and 'wobble' base-pairing, i.e. permitting non-standard base-pairing at the 3rd anti-codon position.
Source: RNAcentral
GGGGCAAUGGCGCUGGGCGCUCCGCGGGCUGCAAACCCGUUGGCUGACCUUAAAGCGGUUGGUGGAGGGUUCGAAUCCCCCUUGCCCCC